Molecule: ribosomal RNA, 416 nt
Filed under: uncultured bacterium
Lineage: Bacteria
Description: bacterial SSU rRNA
Rfam family: Archaeal small subunit ribosomal RNA
Source: RNAcentral
GCGCAGCAGGCGAGAAACCUCCACAAUGUGGGAAACCACGAUGGGGGAACUCCAAGUGCCUGCACUUUUGUGCAGGCUGUUCUCGAGCCUAAAAAGCUCGAGAAGUAAGGGCCGGGUAAGACGGGUGCCAGCCGCCGCGGUAAUACCCGCGGCCCGAGUGGUGCUCAUUAUUAUUGAGCCUAAAGCGUCCGUAGCUGGCCGUGCAAAUCUCCGGGGAAAUCGGACGGCCCAACUGUCCGAAGACCGGAGACACUGCUCGGCUCGAGAUCGGGAGAGGGAGGAGGUACUCUCGGGGUAGGGGUAAAAUCCUGUAAUCCUGAGGGGACCACCAGUGGCGAAGGCGUCCUCCUAGAACGAAUCUGACAGUGAGGGACGAAGCCCUAGGGCGCAAACGGGAUUAGAUACCCCCGUAGUCC